CGUGCCUACGGGAGGCAGCAGUAGGGAAUCUUCCACAAUGGACGAAAGUCUGAUGGAGCAACGCCGCGUGAAUGAAGAAGGGUUUCGGCUCGUAAAGCUCUGUUGGUAGUGAAGAAAGAUAGAGGUAGUAACUGGCCUUUAUUUGACGGUAAUUACUUAGAAAGUCACGGCUAACUACGUGCCAGCAGCCGCGGUAAUACGUAGGUGGCAAGCGUUGUCCGGAUUUAUUGGGCGUAAAGCGAGUGCAGGCGGUUCAAUAAGUCUGAUGUGAAAAGCUUUGGCCCAAACGGAGAAUUG
Molecule: ribosomal RNA, 297 nt
Filed under: uncultured bacterium
Lineage: Bacteria
Description: partial 16S ribosomal RNA
Rfam family: Bacterial small subunit ribosomal RNA
Source: RNAcentral